RNAcentral lists this ribosomal RNA (541 nucleotides) under uncultured Gallionellaceae bacterium. RNAcentral's name for it is "bacterial SSU rRNA". It matches the Rfam family "Bacterial small subunit ribosomal RNA", at positions 135 to 671 of the family's 1533-position model. The record is from RNAcentral. Lineage: Bacteria; Pseudomonadati; Pseudomonadota; Betaproteobacteria; Nitrosomonadales; Gallionellaceae.
AGUGGGGGAUAGCUCGGCGAAAGCCGGAUUAAUACCGCAUAUGCCCUGAGGGGGAAAGCGGGGGAUCUUAGGACCUCGCGCUUUCGGAGUGGCCGAUAUCGGAUUAGCUAGUUGGUGGGGUAAAGGCUUACCAAGGCGACGAUCCGUAGCUGGUCUGAGAGGACGACCAGCCACACUGGAACUGAGACACGGUCCAGACUCCUACGGGAGGCAGCAGUGGGGAAUUUUGGACAAUGGGGGAAACCCUGAUCCAGCCAUGCCGCGUGAGUGAAGAAGGCCUUCGGGUUGUAAAGCUCUUUUAGACGGAAAGAAACGGUCACGGUGAAUAUCCGUGACUAAUGACGGUACCGUCAGAAAAAGCACCGGCUAACUACGUGCCAGCAGCCGCGGUAAUACGUAGGGUGCGAGCGUUAAUCGGAAUUACUGGGCGUAAAGCGUGCGCAGGCGGUUUUGUAAGACAGGUGUGAAAUCCCCGGGCUUAACCUGGGAACUGCAUUUGUGACUGCAAGGCUAGAGUGCGGCAGAGGGGGGUAGAAUUCCA